CGAUAAGUUUAUUUUUUCAAAAAUUAAUUUAAUCGUACCGAUAACCGCAUCAGGUCUCCAAGGUGAGUAGCUUCUGGCCAUUGAGUAAUGGUAAUUUAGGGAAUUCGGCCAAUUAGAGCUGUAACUUCGGGAUAAAGCUUGGCUCUGAUGGAAAUCAGAACCGAUAGUUACAAGGAGAGCCCAACUGUUUAAUAAAAACUUAGUGUCGCGUCAUACCUUUAUAAGUAAUAAACGUGACAUGAAUCCUGCUCAGUGCUGUGUUUGUUAAACUGGAUUAAUCCAUUUAAGCGCCGGUAAAUAGCUGGGGUAACUAUGACUCUUAUCAAAGUAGCGAAAUACCUCGUCACUUAAUUAGUGACCUGCAUGAACGGAGCUAUGAGGUUCUCACUGUCCCAAAUUAUCACUCAGCGAACCAACAGUUGUGGGAACGGGCACAAAUUAUCCAGCGGGGAAAGAAGACCCUGUAGAGCUUCACUUUGGUCUAAUCUUGUAUAGUUUCGUUAGGGGUGCAGUCUAGGUGGGAGAUUUUUAAUCAAAUAUGAGAAACCACUACCCUUUCUGGAAUUAUACUUACUAAAAUUCUUUUCUAAAUUUUAGGAUCGGAUUAGAUAGAAAGUUUGGCUGGGGCGGCACACCUUCGAAAAAGCAGCGAAGGUGUCCUAAGUUAAGCUCAGUAAGGACAGAAAUCUUACGUUGAGGAUAAGGCCAAAAGCUUAAUUUACUGUGCCUUUUUGUACUAGGAUCAGUUUGGAAACAAAGGCCUAACGAUCCCUAAUUAGUCUUAGGUGUGUAAGACUUGGGGUGACAGACAAGUUACCUCCGGGACAACUGGCUUGUGGCUGCUAAGAGAUCAAAUCAACGCAGCUUUUUGAUUCUUCGAUGUCGGCUCUUCCUAUCCUAGUGAUGUACAAGUCACUAAGGGUUGGAUUGUUCACCCGUAUUAGGGAUCGUGAGCUGGGUUUAGACCGUCGUGAGCCAGGUUUGUUUUAUCCUACUGGAUAUAAUUUAGCAUCUUGAUAGUAGUUUGAUUUAGUACGAGAGGAACUGUUGAAUAUGGUCUCUGGUUUGGGAAUUUUAUGAAAAUAAAAGUUCCAAAGCUACGCCGUCUGAGAUAAUGGCUGAAGGCCUCUUAAGCCAGAAACUCAUCUAAAAAUAGA
Molecule: ribosomal RNA, 1157 nt
Filed under: human gut metagenome
Description: eukaryotic LSU rRNA
Rfam family: Eukaryotic large subunit ribosomal RNA
Source: RNAcentral